UCGAGCGGCAGCGCGGGGCAACCUGGCGGCGAGCGGCGAACGGGUGAGUAACGCAUCGGAACGUACCCUGUCGUGGGGGAUAGCCCGGCGAAAGCCGGAUUAAUACCGCAUACGACCUGAGGGUGAAAGCGGGGGAUUCUUGGGCAACCGAGGACCUCGCGCGAUAGGAGCGGCCGAUGGCGGAUUAGCUAGUUGGUGGGGUAAAGGCCUACCAAGGCGACGAUCCGUAGCGGGUCUGAGAGGACGGCCCGCCACACUGGAACUGAGACACGGUCCAGACUCCUACGGGAGGCAGCAGUGGGGAAUUUUGGACAAUGGGGGCAACCCUGAUCCAGCCAUUCCGUGUGAGUGAAGAAGGCCUUCGGGUUGUAAAGCUCUUUCGGCAGGAACGAAACGGUGGAGGCUAAUACCUUUCAUCAAUGACGGUACCUGAAGAAGAAGCACCGGCUAACUACGUGCCAGCAGCCGCGGUAAUACGUAGGGUGCGAGCGUUAAUCGGAAUUACUGGGCGUAAAGCGUGCGCAGGCGGCUCACUAAGACAGAUGUGAAGUCCCCGGGCUUAACCUGGGAACUGCGUUUGUGACUGGUGGGCUGGAGUGUGGCAGAGGGGGGUGGAAUUCCACGUGUAGCAGUGAAAUGCGUAGAGAUGUGGAGGAACACCGAUGGCGAAGGCAGCCCCCUGGGAUGACACUGACGCUCAUGUACGAAAGCGUGGGUAGCAAACGGGAUUAGAUACCCUGGUAGUCCACGCCCUAAACGAUGUCAACUGGUUGUUGGGGGAGUGAAAUCCCUUAGUAACG
RNAcentral lists this ribosomal RNA (800 nucleotides) under uncultured bacterium. RNAcentral's name for it is "bacterial SSU rRNA". It matches the Rfam family "Bacterial small subunit ribosomal RNA", at positions 62 to 848 of the family's 1533-position model. The record is from RNAcentral.